Molecule: ribosomal RNA, 247 nt
Filed under: uncultured bacterium
Lineage: Bacteria
Description: partial 16S ribosomal RNA
Rfam family: Bacterial small subunit ribosomal RNA
Source: RNAcentral
GGGUGCGAGCGUUGUCCGGAAUCACUGGGCGUAAAGGGCGCGUAGGUGGCGACCCAAGUCAACGGUGAAAGCUCGGCGCUUAACGCCGAGUCGGCCGUCGAUACUGGGUGGCUCGAGCACUGUAGAGGCAGAUGGAAUUCCGGGCGUAGCGGUGGAAUGCGUAGAGAUCCGGAAGAACACCGGUGGCGAAGGCGGUCUGCUGGGCAGUUGCUGACACUGAGGCGCGACAGCGUGGGGAGCAAACAGG